GUCCUUUCAAGGAUGUCAAAUAAAAUUGAAACGAUAAAAAAGAAAAAAUUAGUAUAGCUUUUAUAUAAAGAUGACUUGGAUAAAUCAAGAAACGAUCUAAAUUUUU
Molecule: small nuclear RNA, 106 nt
Organism: Prosopis cineraria
Lineage: Eukaryota; Viridiplantae; Streptophyta; Magnoliopsida; Fabales; Fabaceae
Source: RefSeq, a predicted model, not a curated record